RNAcentral lists this ribosomal RNA (253 nucleotides) under uncultured bacterium. Its description in RNAcentral is "partial 16S ribosomal RNA". It matches the Rfam family "Bacterial small subunit ribosomal RNA", at positions 524 to 776 of the family's 1533-position model. The record is from RNAcentral.
UACAGAGGUCCCAAGCGUUGUUCGGAUUCACUGGGCGUAAAGGGUGCGUAGGUGGUGAGGUAAGUCGGAUGUGAAAGCUCGGAGCUCAACUCCGAAAUGGCAUUGGAAACUACCUUGCUCGAGGGUUGGAGGGGGGACUGGAAUGCUUGGUGUAGCAGUGAAAUGCGUAGAUAUCAAGCGGAACACCAGUGGCGAAGGCGAGUCCCUGGAAAACACCUGACACUGAGGCACGAAAGCUAGGGGAGCAAACAGG